UACGGGGGGGGCAAGCGUUGUUCGGAAUUACUGGGCGUAAAGGGCUCGUAGGUGGCCAACUAAGUCAGACGUGAAAUCCCUCGGCUUAACCGGGGAACUGCGUCUGAUACUGGUUGGCUUGAGUUUGGGAGAGGGAUGCGGAAUUCCUGGUGUAGCGGUGAAAUGCGUAGAUAUCAGGAGGAACACCGGUGGUGUAAACGGCUUUCUGGACCGUAACUGACGCUGAGGCACGAAAGCGUGGGGAGCAAACAGG
Molecule: ribosomal RNA, 253 nt
Filed under: uncultured bacterium
Lineage: Bacteria
Description: partial 16S ribosomal RNA
Rfam family: Bacterial small subunit ribosomal RNA
Source: RNAcentral